Molecule: transfer RNA, 83 nt
Filed under: Romeriopsis navalis LEGE 11480
Lineage: Bacteria; Bacillati; Cyanobacteriota; Cyanophyceae; Leptolyngbyales; Leptolyngbyaceae
Description: tRNA-Ser
Source: RNAcentral
GGAAGGUGCCGCUAAUGGUUGGCAACUGGUUUGGAAAAUCAGGGUAGACGCUUAGUCUAGAGGUUCGAUUCCUCCUCUUUCCG